AGGGACUGACAUGUGUCGCAGCUGGGACAGUAAAUGCGGGUGGUCUUUGUGGCAGUGUAAUCGUUUUUGUCUUUAAUGCCGAAUAUCACGCUGACAAACCACAGUCAUUUAAAUGCAACUGUGUAAAUGGAGAAGUGCAAUUAGAGAAUCGAAACCUGCUCUAAAAGCAGCCCACUUCAUAUCACAGAACACCCUGGGAAGUCUUUCCUCAAGGGAUCAUGGAAGAGAUCUGAUCUCUGUUCUCACUUUAUUCUGGAAUGAAAGUGUGUGACCCUGGAGAAUCCAAGAAGAGCUGUUUUGGAGAUCUAUGAGACAGAGGUUCAGUUGUUUUGACUCUUGCAGAGAUGCACUGAGAUGUUCAGAGGAAAAACAGACGUUCAGAGAUCCGGCUAAAUCUCCUCCUCUGCUGGAUGCUGCAUGCGGUCAGAAUGGAUGGGUGGUUUUUCCUUCACCUCAUCAGGGUCACUGAGCGCCCAUCCCAAAGCCAUCUGAACAGUCAAUGUCUCCGCUUCAGCAUGAAUAUAAAUAGAGAGCUCUCACUCCAUCACAUGUGGAUAGAUUAGGUGCCAACAGAGAGGUUUUUCUGUUUAUAAUGCUCUGAGGUCACAUGGACACAUACAAUAACCACAAUAGUGGUCAGGGGUCAAUGUUUGGAACAAGUCAGACCGUAGUUUAAAUAUCACCAU
This is a long non-coding RNA of Cyprinus carpio carpio, 686 nucleotides long. NCBI's taxonomy places the organism in Eukaryota, Metazoa, Chordata, Actinopteri, Cypriniformes, Cyprinidae. The record is from Ensembl.